Molecule: ribosomal RNA, 491 nt
Filed under: uncultured bacterium
Lineage: Bacteria
Description: partial 16S ribosomal RNA
Rfam family: Bacterial small subunit ribosomal RNA
Source: RNAcentral
GUGAACGCUGGCGGUAGGCCUAACACAUGCAAGUCGAACGGCAGCACAGUAAGAGCUUGCUCUUACGGGUGGCGAGUGGCGGACGGGUGAGGAAUACAUCGGAAUCUACUUUUUCGUGGGGGAUAACGUAGGGAAACUUACGCUAAUACCGCAUACGACCUACGGGUGAAAGCAGGGGAUCUUCGGACCUUGCGCGAUUGAAUGAGCCGAUGUCGGAUUAGCUAGUUGGCGGGGUAAAGGCCCACCAAGGCGACGAUCCGUAGCUGGUCUGAGAGGAUGAUCAGCCACACUGGAACUGAGACACGGUCCAGGCUCCUACGGGAGGCAGCAGUGGGGAAUAUUGGACAAUGGGCGCAAGCCUGAUCCAGCCAUACCGCGUGGGUGAAGAAGGCCUUCGGGUUGUAAAGCCCUUUUGUUGGGAAAGAAAAGCAGCAGGUUAAUACCCCGCUGUUCUGACGGUACCCAAAGAAUAAGCACCGGCUAACUUCGUG